CAGACUUGAUAACCACUAUGCCUGAUCGGGGAGGAAGUAGGAAAGGGUUCAUUAAGACGUGCUGACAAGGUCUUUCUAAAGCAGACAGUGCUGUUACCCAUUUACAUGAAAAGGAGACAGGAACGUCUCCUAAGUUUUUCGUGAAAGUGCCUGUCAGACCGAAGGAAUGAUCACACUGAGAUACUUACAGGCUUUUUGAGAGUUCUCGGACUAGAAGUGAGUCACUCCCCACCAGUUUCCCUGCGUCCUCCAGCCCCUCACCUUCUGCCAUGAGCGCAGUCUACAUUCUUUCUGUGAAAAUUAUGUUAAAAUGAUUGCAUUACGUGAGCUAAAUCCCUUUGUAGUUCUACUGUAUUCACAGUGUCUUUGUGGCUCAAUCUUAAGCCUCAA
This is a long non-coding RNA of Micropterus dolomieu (smallmouth bass), 390 nucleotides long. RefSeq lists it as uncharacterized. The record is from RefSeq and is a predicted model, not a curated record. NCBI's taxonomy places the organism in Eukaryota, Metazoa, Chordata, Actinopteri, Centrarchiformes, Centrarchidae. The transcript has 3 exons.